GACGAACGCUGGCGGCGUGCUUAACACAUGCAAGUCGAACGGAAAGGCCCUGCUUUUGUGGGGUGCUCGAGUGGCGAACGGGUGAGUAACACGUGAGUAACCUGCCCUUGACUUUGGGAUAACUUCAGGAAACUGGGGCUAAUACCGGAUAGGAGCUCCUGCUGCAUGGUGGGGGUUGGAAAGUUUCGGCGGUUGGGGAUGGAUUCGCGGCUUAUCAGCUUGUUGGUGGGGUAGUGGCUUACCAAGGCUUUGACGGGUAGCCGGCCUGAGAGGGUGACCGGCCACAUUGGGACUGAGAGACGGCCCAGACUGCUACGGGAGGCAGCAGUGGGGAAUAUUGCACAAUGGGCGGAAGCCUGAUGCAGCAACGCCGCGUGCGGGAUGACGGGCUUCGGGUUGUAAACCGCUUUCGCCUGUGACGAAGCGUGAGUGACGGUAAUGGGUAAAGAAGCACCGGCUAACUACGUG
Molecule: ribosomal RNA, 468 nt
Filed under: uncultured bacterium
Lineage: Bacteria
Description: partial 16S ribosomal RNA
Rfam family: Bacterial small subunit ribosomal RNA
Source: RNAcentral